UACGGAGGGGGCAAGCGUUAUUCGGAAUUAUUGGGCGUAAAGGGCGCGUAGGCGGCUAGAUGUGUCAAAGGUGAAAUCCCUCGGCUCAACUGAGGAACUGCCUUUGAAACUGUCUGGCUUGAGGCCGGGAGAGGGUAGCGGAAUUCCCAGUGUAGCGGUGAAAUGCGUAGAUAUUGGGAGGAACACCAGUGGCGAAGGCGGCUCUCUGGACCGAUACUGACGCUGAGGCGCGAAAGCGUGGGGAGCAAACAGG
RNAcentral lists this ribosomal RNA (253 nucleotides) under uncultured bacterium. RNAcentral's name for it is "partial 16S ribosomal RNA". It matches the Rfam family "Bacterial small subunit ribosomal RNA", at positions 524 to 776 of the family's 1533-position model. The record is from RNAcentral.